GCUUUUCAAUAGCGAAUUCGUCCAGUGUGUUCUUGAAAUGGUAUUUAAAAUGGCCUCAGUUUGCUAGGACGCUUGAACCCCACCUAAACCUUACAGGUUCAUGCAAAUUAUGAUGACAAUCAGGCCUUUGUAAAUACGCAAUAAAUCGGAGGAGUGUAUACUUGUUCAUUUGGUAUCCAGAGUAGAGGAUUACGCUACUGCAUUUCUAAUAUUGGAAAAGGGAAUUCAAUAGGCCUUCAUCAUGAAGUUUUGGAUGACAGUUCUUUCACUUUUGGUGACAAUCGUUCCAGGUUUCGUCUCGGCUGAACCACUAGAAAACAUCAAUAAGGACGCCCUUGCCCUCAUCAUCAUACCUCUAUGUUUGAUCUUCUUCAUGUUAUAUGUCUACACCAGUCAGGAUGACGACGACGAUGAAAACGAGGAUGAUGACAUUGAAAACCCAGAGGAACUUGACUACGUCGAGAACACGCGUUUCUAAAAACAAACAACUCUUUUAAACUGUAAAUAUACAAUACAUGCAAUAAAACUUUGUCAAAUCAUGUGGUAGGGUCCAUGGUCAAAUAAAACGUGAAGGAACGGGCCCAGCGACCGUGUGCCUUAAAGCGCAAGUUGUACUUCCAGGACAUUGGCAAGCUACUCCUUCUAAAAUUGUUAGAAUGUUUUUUUUUCUGCACCUUGGUAAAUUUAAAAAAUAAGUAGCGAAAAAAAGACAAGCGGUACUGCUUUGAUUAUAAUGUUAUCAAUGAUAACGGCAAUAGAAUAUUAGCGUACUUAAAGGGAUGAUGGGCCUUUCCGCCUACACUCUUAAAGGAAUGGUCAAAUUAAGUAAAAACAAGCAGUAGAUGGCAGGUUCGAAUCCCACUGGUUCCAAUUUUUUCUGACUUAUGAUCUUAUGAUUUUCAUUACAGAUCGAGCAUACUGAUCUUAUGAUUUUCAGUACAGAUCGAGCAUACUGAUUUUAAACAAAUAGGAGUAAUGCCGAAAAUUGUUAACAAAUUAAAAACAUUCUGUUGGCAAACUGUGUCCGCCCGAUAACAAUGCUCGUUAUCAGCCAGAAUUGUGGUAGAUUCUAACCUUAAAAAUUGGUUGAUUUUAACAUUUUUCUCUGUUGGUCAGACACAAUGGACGUACAGAUUGGAUACUUUGACCAGUAUUUUUGAGUGAAGUCUCCAUGCACGCAAGGGGUAGGGGGCAGUUGCUCCAUCUUCCGAUAUUUUGAAAACCUACAUUUUUUACUGAAAAUUUUCACAUAAUUCAACAAAAGUGUGCAUACAAUCAUUCAGAUGGGUAGAAAAAAUAUAUUCAUGCCUUGGUACGGGCCAUUUUACCAAUCUAAAGGGGAUUGAUGUUCUGAUAAAAGCUUUAAUCUCCACUGGCGAUAUGAUCAUAGAGCUUUGAUUUUGCAGCGGGUUCACUUAAAUGGAUUUUGAUAUUGAUUCAAUCUUCUGAAACAGGAAUGUAUAUUGCUUAUCUGCGUUUCCAACCUAUAACAUUCACGCCUUGUUGUAAUCCGCAUACAUUCGAAGCUUCGCAAUUUACGUGUUUCGGAAUUACGAACCUUCGGAAUUACGAAGUGUAACCGUUGUAAUCUUCAACAAAAUUCAAGUUCGAUUACAUGUACGCUGUACAUUGGUUUCAAGUGUAUCAUAACAUUUAACUACGGCGUUUCCAGUUUAUAGUAUUUACACGAGAAAGCUUCACCCAUGUCCUAUAAAACAUAUUUUAAUGUUGACAUCUGGCUGUACAUGUGUUUGUUUCCGGGUUGGUUUUACCAAAAUACACACAUCGCUCCCAUCCAAAGAUGACAAUAAAACAAUAAAAUAUAUUCCGUAAAGAACCCGAAAUGCUCAAAAUAUACACGCUGUAUAAGCUACAUGUAUAUAUGUCAUAAUUUUCUCAUGUUUCAUAGAUUUGUAUAUGGUGUACGGAAUUACAUUUUAUUGUUACGAAGUAAUAUACUUUUUCUUUCCGAUUAGCUAGAUGAAGUGGAUCAGAAUUGCCAUUGUAUACGUAAUCAAGAAAACUCAAAUACUUUGCUUAUCAACCUUUAUGUGUCAUGUUAGUAGUUAUAAUAUGAGUUGUUUUGGCUGAACCAAGAGCCAUGUGAGUGUGCCUGUUUGUGAGAGUGUGUUUGUGUGUGUGGGGGUAAUAUAGAGCCCAAUUUCACAAUACCCCCAUCGAUAAACAUAUCGAUUGAAUCUAAAAAUCGCUGUAGAGAAGAUUUAACCUUUGGAUGAACAUAAUUGAGCUUUUAUAUAUAGUCAGGAAUGACUCCAAAAUGAAUCCCAACAGUAAUAGAGGGGCAAAUGUUUCAGUGAAUACCAAUCUAAUCAAAUGGCAAUAAAAAAUUAAGUUAUGUUAAUUCUUGAUAUUCAUGACGGUGCAUAUUGAUGUGUAAUUUGCUGAGAAUAUUGUAGAUUGUAUGAUAAGUUUUUUUUAAAGGCAUGUACUUGUAUAUACGAAGUGGAUAUAUUCUUAUGUAUUAAAGUCUCUUUUGUGGAUCA
Long non-coding RNA from Lytechinus pictus (painted urchin), 2504 nucleotides. RefSeq lists it as uncharacterized. The transcript has 5 exons. The record is from RefSeq and is a predicted model, not a curated record. NCBI's taxonomy places the organism in Eukaryota, Metazoa, Echinodermata, Echinoidea, Temnopleuroida, Toxopneustidae.